AUUGAACGCUGGCGGCAGGCCUAACACAUGCAAGUCGAACGAGUGGCGGACGGGUGAGUAAUGUAUGGGAAACUGCCCGAUGGAGGGGGAUAACUACUGGAAACGGUAGCUAAUACCGCAUACCAUCGGAUGUGCCCAGAUGGGAUUAGCUAGUAGGUGGGGUAAAGGCUCACCUAGGCGACGAUCCCUAGCUGGUCUGAGAGGAUGAUCAGCCACACUGGGACUGAGACACGGUCCAGACGCCUACGGGAGGCAGCAGUGGGGAAUAUUGCACAAUGGGCGCAAGCCUGAUGCAGCCAUGCCGGGUGUAUGAAGAAGGCCUUCGGGUUGUAAAGUACUUUCAGCGGGGAGGCGUUACCCGCAGAAGAAGCACCGGCUAACUCCGUGCCAGCAGCCGCGGUAAUAC
RNAcentral lists this ribosomal RNA (406 nucleotides) under uncultured bacterium. RNAcentral's name for it is "partial 16S ribosomal RNA". It matches the Rfam family "Bacterial small subunit ribosomal RNA", at positions 30 to 526 of the family's 1533-position model. The record is from RNAcentral.